GAUGAACGCUGGCGGCGUGCCUAAUACAUGCAAGUCGAGCGAAUGGAUUGAGAGCUUGCUCUUAUGAAGUUAGCGGCGGACGGGUGAGUAACACGUGGAUAACCUGCCCAUAAGACUGGGAUAACUCCGGGAAACCGGGGCUAAUACCGGAUAACAUUUUGAACCGCAUGGUUCGAAAUUGAAAGGCGGCUUCGGCUGUCACUUAUGGAUGGACCCGCGUCGCAUUAGCUAGUUGGUGAGGUAACGGCUCACCAAGGCAACGAGGCGUAGCCGAGCUGGGGGGGUGAUCGGCCACACGGGGACUGAGAGACGGCCCAGACUCCUACGGGAGGCAGCAGUAGGGAAUCUUCCGCAAUGGACGAAAGUCUGACGGAGCAACGCCGAGUGAGUGAGGAAGGCUUUCGGGUCGUAAAACUCUGUUGUUAGGGAAGAACAAGUGCUAGUUGAAUAAGCUGGCACCUUGACGGUACCUAACCAGAAAGCCACGGCUAACUACGUGCCAGCAGCCGCAGUAA
RNAcentral lists this ribosomal RNA (515 nucleotides) under uncultured bacterium. RNAcentral's name for it is "partial 16S ribosomal RNA". It matches the Rfam family "Bacterial small subunit ribosomal RNA", at positions 28 to 523 of the family's 1533-position model. The record is from RNAcentral.